This 642-nucleotide ribosomal RNA is filed under the name Triticum aestivum (bread wheat). RNAcentral describes it as "partial small subunit ribosomal RNA". Lineage: Eukaryota; Viridiplantae; Streptophyta; Magnoliopsida; Poales; Poaceae. The record is from RNAcentral.
AUGAUGGAAAAACUGCUAGCUAACACUUUCACAGGAGAUGGAACAAAGCAUCCUGACGAACAUCUAUGCAUUGUGGAUGAUAUUUGUGGACUAUUUAAGCCUGCAGGUGUACCCGAUGAUGUCGUUAAGAGGAAGACUUUCCCUUUAUCUUUGGAGAGAGACGCAUUGACAUGGUAUAGGCUAUGUGAUGAUACGAGAUCAUGGAACUAUAAAAGAUUGAAAUUGAAAUUUCAUCAAAAGUAUUACCCUAUGCAUCUUGUUCAUCGUGAUCGCAAUUAUAUAUAUAAUUUUUGGCCUCGCGAAGGAGAAAGCAUCGCUCAAGCUUGGGGGAGGCUUAAAUCAAUGUUAUAUUCAUGCCCCAAUCAUGAGCUCUCAAAAUUGACAAUUCUCCAGAACUUUUAUGCUCGGCUUUCUGAAAAUAAUCGCACCAUGCUCGAUACUUCUUGUGCUGGCUCUUUUAUGAUGAAGUCUAUUGAAUUUGGAUGGAAUUUAUUGGAUAGAAUUAAACGCAACUCUGAAGAUUGGGACCUCGACGAAGGUAAGGAGUCAGGUAUGACACCUAAGUUUGAUUGUAUUAAAUCUUUUAUGGAUACCGAUAUUUUUCAUAAUUUAGCACUUAAUAUGGACUUGACUCUGAGAUAG